This 406-nucleotide ribosomal RNA is filed under the name uncultured bacterium. RNAcentral describes it as "partial 16S ribosomal RNA". It matches the Rfam family "Bacterial small subunit ribosomal RNA", at positions 30 to 526 of the family's 1533-position model. The record is from RNAcentral.
AUUGAACGCUGGCGGCAGGCCUAACACAUGCAAGUCGAACGAGUGGCGGACGGGUGAGUAAUGUCUGGGAAACUGCCCGAUGGAUGGGGAUAACUACUGGAAACGGUAGCUAAUACCGCAUACCAUCGGAUGUGCCCAGAUGGGAUAGGCUUGUCGGUGAGGUAACGGCUCACCUAGGCGACGAUCCGUAACUGGUCUGAGAGGAUGAUCAGGCACACUGGAACUGAGACACGGGCAAGACUCCUACGGGAGGCAGCAGUGGGGAAUAUUGGACAAUGGGCGAAAGCCUGAUCCAGCCAUGCCGCGUGUGUGAAGAAGGUCUUCGGAGUGUAAAGCACUUUAAGUUGGGAGGCGUUACCAACAGAAUAAGCACCGGCUAACUUCGUGCCAGCAGCCGCGGUAAUUC